AUUGAACGCUGGCGGCAGGCUUAACACAUGCAAGUCGAACGAGUGGCGGACGGGUGAGUAAUGCUUGGGAAUCUAGCUUAUGGAGGGGGAUAACUACGGGAAACUGUAGCUAAUACCGCGUACCAUAGGAUGAGCCCAAGGGGGAUUAGGUAGUUGGUGAGGUAAAGGCUCACCAAGCCGACGAGCUCUAGCUGGGCUGAGAGGAUGACCAGCCUAACGGGGACUGAGAAGCGGCCCAGACUCCUACGGGAGGCAGCAGUGGGGAAUAUUGCGCAAUGGGGGCAACCCUGCCGCAGCCAUGCCGCGUGAAUGAAGAAGGCCUUAGGGUUGUAAAGUACUUUCAGCGGGGAGGCGUUACCCGAAGAAGAAGCACCGGCUAACUCCGUGCGAGCCGCCGCGGUAAUAC
This 406-nucleotide ribosomal RNA is filed under the name uncultured bacterium. RNAcentral describes it as "partial 16S ribosomal RNA". It matches the Rfam family "Bacterial small subunit ribosomal RNA", at positions 29 to 526 of the family's 1533-position model. The record is from RNAcentral.